Molecule: non-coding RNA, 148 nt
Filed under: Homo sapiens (human)
Lineage: Eukaryota; Metazoa; Chordata; Mammalia; Primates; Hominidae
Source: Rfam by way of RNAcentral
GCCAGGCAUGGUGGUGUGUGUCUGUAGUCCCAGCUACUCAGGAGGCUGAGGUGGGAGGAUCGCUUGAGCCCAGGAGGUCGAGGCUGCAGUAAGCCAUGAUCUUGCCACUGCACUCCAGCCUGGGUGACAGAGCGAGACCCUGUCUCAA